UGCUACAUUGGAUACCAAUCUCCAAAAAUUGGAAAAGUACAGAGAUUAGCAUGAUCCCUGAGCAAGGAUGAAAUGAAAGUUCACAAAGUGUGGUGUGUUCUG
This is a small nuclear RNA of Grammomys surdaster, 102 nucleotides long. The record is from RefSeq and is a predicted model, not a curated record. Lineage: Eukaryota; Metazoa; Chordata; Mammalia; Rodentia; Muridae.